Molecule: ribosomal RNA, 231 nt
Filed under: uncultured bacterium
Lineage: Bacteria
Description: partial 16S ribosomal RNA
Rfam family: Bacterial small subunit ribosomal RNA
Source: RNAcentral
CGGGUGAGUAAUGCGUGGGUAACCUGCCUUAUACUGGGGGAUAACAGCCAGAAAUGACUGCUAAUACCGCAUAAGCGCACAGAACCGCAUGGUCCGGUGUGAAAAACUCCGGUGGUAUAAGAUGGACCCGCGUUGGAUUAGCUAGUUGGCAGGGCAGCGGCCUACCAAGGCGACGAUCCAUAGCCGGCCUGAGAGGGUGAACGGCCACAUUGGGACUGAGACACGGCCCAG